This 921-nucleotide long non-coding RNA is filed under the name Olea europaea (common olive). RNAcentral describes it as "long non-coding RNA (OEUR_LNC002324)". Lineage: Eukaryota; Viridiplantae; Streptophyta; Magnoliopsida; Lamiales; Oleaceae. The record is from RNAcentral.
UGCCUUGUUCAGGGUAUGUUAAGGAAUCUAUGACCAAGGAUUCCGUUUCAUUUCUCUCUUCUUUGUAUUUCGAUUAUUCUUUGAUCCCUCUUCUUUGGCACUACAAUAGAUCAAGAAAAUCACGCGAGAUGAGUUUAUUAGAAAGUUGAGAUUGAUAGUAGGGGAUCAGCUGUUGAAGUCAUCUAUAAUUGGUCUCCAAUCCAAGGUAAGACCUGACACAUCCCGACUCUUGAAAUUAUUUUUAGUUAAAUGUUCUUUCUCCCCACCCACAAAAAAAAAAAAUUGGAAAAAGUAAAAAAUAUCAAACUACUUUCCAAUUUGGAAAUGAAAGGGGUGCAGUCUUGGAUGACGGUCUGCAUCGUUAGAUGAUUCCACCAAUAAUGCUUGAAGGUUUAUGGAACAGCGAGGAACUUUUUUAAAACCUAAUGUUCAAAUGAAAGGAAUGCGGUCUUGGAUGACAGUGCAUUGUUAGAUGAUUCCACUGAUAACGCUGGAAGGUUUUUGGAGCAACGAGGAACUUUUUUAAACCUAAUGUUCACCAUAAGUACCUUUCACAUAUUUUUGGGCUAAGUUUACAUUAUGCAAUUCUUAAACCUUUAUUAUGAUAAUGUAUUGAUAAGGUGGUGUUAUAUCUUGGGAUCAAAACGACACCAGCAAUUCAUUUGUCAGAUUGUUCUACUUUUUAAUUUUGAUAUCCAUUCUUAUUUUUUGGACUGACCCUUUUUGGCUUGUACAUUAGUGUUGUGGGAACAAAUUCUGGAUGUUAUAAAAUUGUCACGGUCUUGGAAAUUUGAAAUUUCACUCUGUAUUUUGCUGGUUAUUUUUGCAGAUUCUGUUUCAAAUGUCAUACUACCAGUAUGAAAAGGAUCAUUGCAUGUCUUGAAAAUAUUUUUGACUUAUUAUAUAUUUUGAAAAAGGAAC